This 684-nucleotide long non-coding RNA is filed under the name Homo sapiens (human). RNAcentral describes it as "HSALNT0220751". The record is from RNAcentral. Lineage: Eukaryota; Metazoa; Chordata; Mammalia; Primates; Hominidae.
CUCUCCUGGUUUGCAGAGCAUAGGAACAGAUCUGCUCUGCCAACCAUGUGAUGUGGGGCUAAAACACGACCCAUAGCGGCCUUCCGGUCCCUGGGCUCUGUUGGGCUGGCUGCACUUUGAGAAGCAGCCAACGUGGCCGACCUGCUGAAGUUAAUUGCUGCAGAGAACCAAGGUUAACAAAAGCUGCUGGGGAAAAGAUGGUGGCAAAAAGAAAGGCAAGUACUACAUGUAAGUUCUUCUCCAUGACCUCCCAGUGAAGAAAAGAAACAUGGCAGAGAGGACCUUCAAAGUUCUCCCAACUCUGAAGUGAUCUGAUGCUUGGAUCUAUGUAUCAUCUUUCCAGAUGAGACUUUGUGUCUCAUGGAUGUGGCAAAGGCAGCAGAACUGCACCAAGACAGAGCUGGUAAAGAGCAACUCAAGUGGAAGUUCCCUGGGGACAAGUACUGCUAAAGUCAUUGAAGUUGCUGGCAUUAUGUUUCUACGAUUCUCUGAUCCCAAGUCCUAUAUGUUAUAACAAUAUUAGAGAGGAAGCACCAUCAUAAAUAAAACCAAAAAGCACACAGUUUUUAAUAAUUCAUUUGUCCGUAUCUUACCACCUACGUGAUGUCUUGUUUUAAAAGAAUUACAUGGAUUUGCAUUUCAAUAUUUUAGCUAUUACUCACUUGUACAGGUAGUCGAUUCCUC